AGUGAACGCUGGCGGUAGGCCUAACACAUGCAAGUCGAACGGCAGCACAGUAAGAGCUUGCUCUUACGGGUGGCGAGUGGCGGACGGGUGAGGAAUACAUCGGAAUCUACUUUUUCGUGGGGGAUAACGUAGGGAAACUUACGCUAAUACCGCAUACGACCUACGGGUGAAAGCAGGGGAUCUUCGGACCUUGCGCGAUUGAAUGAGCCGAUGUCGGAUUAGCUAGUUGGCGGGGUAAAGGCCCACCAAGGCGACGAUCCGUAGCUGGUCUGAGAGGAUGAUCAGCCACACUGGAACUGAGACACGGUCCAUACUCCUACGGGAGGCAGCAGUGGGGAAUAUUGGACAAUGGGGGCAAGCCUGAUCCAGCCAUACCGCGUGGGUGAAGAAGGCCUUCGGGUUGUAAAGCCCUUUUGUUGGGAAAGAAAAGCAGCAGGUUAAUACCCCGCUGUUCUGACGGUACCCAAAGAAUAAGCACCGGCUAACUUCGUG
This 492-nucleotide ribosomal RNA is filed under the name uncultured bacterium. Its description in RNAcentral is "partial 16S ribosomal RNA". It matches the Rfam family "Bacterial small subunit ribosomal RNA", at positions 29 to 507 of the family's 1533-position model. The record is from RNAcentral.